UACAGAGGUCUCGAGCGUUAGGCGGAAUCACUGGGCUUAAAGCGUGUGUAGGUGGAUGCCUAAGUACCUUGUGAAAUCCCACGGCUUAACCGUGGAACUGCUUGGUAUACUGGGGGACUUGAGUGCAGGAGAGAAGAGUGGUAUUCCACGUGUAGCGGUGAAAUGCGUAGAUAUCGGGAGGAACACCAGUGGCGAAGGCGACUACCUGGCCUGUUCUUGACGCUGAGGCGCGAAAGCUAGGGGAGCAAACGGG
RNAcentral lists this ribosomal RNA (253 nucleotides) under uncultured bacterium. RNAcentral's name for it is "partial 16S ribosomal RNA". It matches the Rfam family "Bacterial small subunit ribosomal RNA", at positions 524 to 776 of the family's 1533-position model. The record is from RNAcentral.